RNAcentral lists this transfer RNA (72 nucleotides) under Candidatus Izimoplasma sp. HR1. RNAcentral describes it as "Candidatus Izimaplasma sp. HR1 tRNA". It matches the Rfam family "tRNA". Rfam says of the family: Transfer RNA (tRNA) molecules are approximately 80 nucleotides in length. Their secondary structure includes four short double-helical elements and three loops (D, anti-codon, and T loops). The record is from Rfam by way of RNAcentral. Lineage: Bacteria; Bacillati; Mycoplasmatota; Mollicutes; Candidatus Izemoplasmatales; Candidatus Izemoplasmataceae.
GGUUCCGUAGCCAAGUGGCUAAGGCAAUGGACUGCAACUCCGUGAUCGCCGGUUCAAAUCCGGCCGGAACCU